UUGUAAAAUGACUCAUUUUUUAAAUCCUUCCAGGAGGGGCCAUGUUUGGGAGGGGCAAAGUUGAGAGCAAGAGAGAAAGCAUCUGCUCUGAAAGUUGGAGGAGCAAUUCUGAUAACUCACACAGCAUCUGCCAGUAUAUGUCUCAAGCCUUCUGCAGCUGCUGCCAGUCCAGGCUGCAAUCAAGAUCAUUGAAGGAAGUGACCACAUAUCCUAGAUCAGCUAGCAGCAUGUGACUGCACAUCUCAUUGCAAGGCACACCACAACUCUUCUUGCUCCCAUCCAAAUUCACUUUGGAGUCUCAUCAUGGGAUGAAGGCAGUGGGAUCUCUAUCUCACUUGAGGAGGAGAAAGAAAUGAGAAGCAGAAUGAGGUUGUAAAUUAUAUCCCAAAGGUAAUGGAAAACCAGGAUGGGCUUUAGGGCUUGAAUAUCUUUUAUUUAAUAUGUCAUAUUUUGUGGUUGCGCAGGGGGGCUGUGGAGCCUCUGUUUUCAGAGAUAUUCUGAACCUAACUGGACACAGCCUGCUCUGGGUGGCCUUGUUAGAGGUUGGACAAAAUGGUCUCUGGGGGUCCCUUCCAGCUGCAACGAAUCUGUGAUUGUAUGGUUCUGAAAUUUAAAUAUUUUUUUCCAAUUUUCUGAGAGAAGAAUGAGCUAAACGAACAAAAGUGAAAGUUAACAAAAGCUUUCCUUGUUUCAACCCAAUAGCACUAACUUCUAUUUAUCCUUCUAACCACUGCCAACCUUGUUAACCUGAGCAAUCCCAUUAUGUCAGUUGGAUUUUAUCAGCAACAAAGGUAAUUCUUUAGGCUACCUCAGGUUUUCCUCAGUGUGGAAAUACAGGGAGCAAGGAAGAAGCACAGAUGCACAUUCUGGUUCUCUGUUCCUGUGGGGUCAGGAUUUGUCAAAACACACCCAGGACCUAGGACAUCUGCUGGGAUGUUUUAUGUAGGUGCAAGUUAUACCUGCAUGGGUGAGGAAAUUGUGGCAUACUCAUAGAGAAAUGUGUGGGAAUGGGUUUAGCAGCCACACUGAACAGCUGCUCAUAGUUCAAAGAAAGACAGGACAAGGGUUUAAAUGGAACCUCCACAUGAUGCAGAUUAGCCUGUAAAAAAUUAUAUAUUUGUUUAUAGGGCUGGGUUUUAGGCAUCCUGGGCCUCAGGAUCUUUGGC
RNAcentral lists this long non-coding RNA (1166 nucleotides) under Parus major (Great Tit). RNAcentral's name for it is "lncRNA (ENSPMJG00000013604.1)". Lineage: Eukaryota; Metazoa; Chordata; Aves; Passeriformes; Paridae. The record is from RNAcentral.